GAGGUUCUUGGGCACUUAUUUCACACACCUAAACCCACCCACCUCCCUCCUGCCUACACAUUUUGCACUACACCUUAUUAUUUUCUAUAAAACAUGCAAAUUAAUGAAGCAAUUCUUUGGGGAAUUUGAGUGAAGGGAUUCUUUUCUUCCCCUCUCUUUUGCAGCUUAUUUUUUGCAUACAUACACAUAUAUUUUGUCUCUUGUAAAUAGGUU
This 213-nucleotide unclassified non-coding RNA is filed under the name Hevea brasiliensis (rubber tree). Lineage: Eukaryota; Viridiplantae; Streptophyta; Magnoliopsida; Malpighiales; Euphorbiaceae. The record is from RNAcentral.